This 85-nucleotide transfer RNA is filed under the name Synergistales bacterium. RNAcentral describes it as "tRNA-Ile". The record is from RNAcentral. Lineage: Bacteria; Thermotogati; Synergistota; Synergistia; Synergistales.
CGAGUCGUUUGGCGAGGUCGAUUGCGCUUUGGUAUCCCAAUACGGUAUCGGUUAUCUCCGCCAUGUGCGGGCCGUGCUGCUCGAC